CCUACGGGUGGCAGCAGUCGAGAAUCAUUCACAAUGGGGGAAACCCUGAUGGUGCGGCGCCGCGUGGGGGAAUGAAGGUCUUCGGAUUGUAAACCCCUGUCAUGUGGGAGCAAAUUAAAAAGAUAGUACCACAAGAGGAAGAGACGGCUAACUCUGUGCCAGCAGCCGCGGGAAUACAGAGGUCUCAAGCGUUGUUCGGAAUCACUGGGCGUAAAGCGUGCGUAGGCUGUUUCGUAAGUAGUGUGUGAAAGGCGCGGGCUCAACCCGCGGACGGCACAUGAUACUGCGAGACUAGAGUAAUGGAGGGGGAACCGGAAUUCUCGGUGUAGCAGUGAAAUGCGUAGAUAUCGAGAGGAACACUCGUGGCGAAGGCGGGUUCCUGGACAUUAACUGACGCUGAGGCACGAAGGCCAGGGGAGCGAAAGGGAUUAGAUACCCCAGUAGUC
This 446-nucleotide ribosomal RNA is filed under the name uncultured bacterium. RNAcentral describes it as "partial 16S ribosomal RNA". It matches the Rfam family "Bacterial small subunit ribosomal RNA", at positions 338 to 795 of the family's 1533-position model. The record is from RNAcentral.